GGGCCGAUAGUCUAAUUUGGUUAGGACACCCGCCUGACCCGCGGGAGACUCCCGGUUCGAGUCCGGGUCGGCCCA
This 75-nucleotide transfer RNA is filed under the name Candidatus Bathyarchaeota archaeon. RNAcentral describes it as "tRNA-Val". It matches the Rfam family "tRNA". Rfam says of the family: Transfer RNA (tRNA) molecules are approximately 80 nucleotides in length. Their secondary structure includes four short double-helical elements and three loops (D, anti-codon, and T loops). The record is from RNAcentral. Lineage: Archaea; Thermoproteati; Candidatus Bathyarchaeota.